GAUGAACGCUGGCGGCGUGCCUAACACAUGCAAGUCGAACGGAGAUUACGGACGGAAGUUUUCGGAUGGACGACUGUAAUUCUUAGUGGCGGACGGGUGAGUAACGCGUGGGCAACCUGCCCUCUACAGGGGGAUAGCAGCUGGAAACGGCUGGUAAGACCGCAUAAGUCGGUUAAAUCGCAUGUUUUGAUCGGGAUAUGAGCAAUCAGGUAUAGGAUGGGCCCGCGUCCGAUUAGCCAGUUGGCAGGGUAAAAGCCUACCAAAGCGACGAUCGGUAGCCGGACUGAGAGGUCGGACGGCCACAUUGGGACUGAGACACGGCCCAGACUCCUACGGGAGGCAGCAGUGGGGGAUAUUGCACAAUGGAGGAAAGUCUGAUGCAGCGACGCCGCGUGAGUGAAGAAGUACUUAGGGAUGUAAAGCUCUAUCACCAGGGAAGAUGAUGACGGUACCUGACUAAGAAGCCCCGGCUAACUACGUG
RNAcentral lists this ribosomal RNA (481 nucleotides) under uncultured bacterium. Its description in RNAcentral is "partial 16S ribosomal RNA". It matches the Rfam family "Bacterial small subunit ribosomal RNA", at positions 28 to 507 of the family's 1533-position model. The record is from RNAcentral.